This 12941-nucleotide long non-coding RNA is filed under the name Manihot esculenta (cassava). Its description in RNAcentral is "long non-coding RNA (MESC_LNC003822)". Lineage: Eukaryota; Viridiplantae; Streptophyta; Magnoliopsida; Malpighiales; Euphorbiaceae. The record is from RNAcentral.
CUACAUCACACAAUAGCUGAAACAGAAAUAUUAUAGGACUAAGAACACAUAAAUGAUACUGAUCAAUGCAAAAGGUGAAGUCAUCACAGCGAGAUCAAAGGUUGAAACGCUUGUGGUAUAAUUGCUUAAGGAUUGGUAGCUGAUUCAGGUUUGGUGUCUUUGGAAGGGAAUGUGGACUUUGGUAACUCAGGCAAGUGGGGAAAAGUUGGCAGUUCAGGUUUUGGCAACUCAGGCAAGUGGGGAAAAGCUGGCAGUUCAGGCUUUGGAAACUCAGGCAAUUCAGGUUUUGGCAGCGUGGGAAUUUCAGGCUUCGACAACUCAGGCAAUUCAGGUAAUUUUGGCAGAGUGGGAAGUUCAGGUUUAGGAAAGGUUGGGACUUCAGGUAAUGGUGGAAGCUCAACCUUAGGAAGUAAUGGCAAGUCAGGCAAUUCAGGCUUAGGAAGCUCCGGGACCUCAGGUAAUGUUGUCUCUAGAAGCUGUCGUGCUUCUGCAGAGAUUGACAGAGCAACGAGUGAGAGCAGAACAAUGAGUGAAGGGGAGCGAAGAUUGGCCAUAACUAUGCAACAAGAUCAAUCAGCUGUAAAUACAAUUUAUCCUCACUUUUGUUUUGUGUGUGUUGAUGUUCACUUGUGUUGAGCUUUUAUAGAAGUGGGAAGUGAAGAAUGGGGAACUUCCAAAGGUGAUUUAGUGGGAAAAGUUGUGUUAGCUCAACUUCCCACCCAUAAGACUCCCACUGUUGGCAUGACCAACUAUAGACUUCCUUACAAGUGUAACCUUGCUAUCUUUCUAUAUGGAGUCCAGAGAUUGGUUAGAUUGAUAAUAAGCUAAAAUAUGGUUCUCACUUGUAAUCAUUCUCAGAAAUCAGAACACUUGUGAAGUUCAAGCUUUUUCACCUAUUUAAUAAUUCACUUCUUUCCUGUUCUACCUACAAAAGAUGAGAUUCUGAAGAAUGGUUCUUCUUUAGUUACUUUAAAAUAAUGUUCAACGAAGAUAGCCUCAUCUGCAAAGUUGGCCAACCUACACACUAAACUUUGACAUGUCUUUCUUUUUAUUGAAGCUCUGACUGAUCUUCACAUCACAUCCAAUUAUCCACAAGGUACUCUUCUAUUUGAAAUUAAGAAUUUUAUUAAAAAUUAAUUCAAUUGAUUUCUUUUAUAUCAAUCUCUUGGUUGGAAUGAGAUUCAAUUUUUUUGACUUAUAAAAUUUUCAUAUUAAAAAAAUUGAAACCAUGUGUAUUCUUGUAAGAAUUUAUUUAUAUUCUUUUUUUUUUCAAACUGAAUCAUUGCAAACAAAAGGACUAUAUAAGGUAGUAUAUAUGAUUCUCAGUUGUAAUUAUAACAGUUCAAAAUAUGUCUAAUCACAUUAGUUUCGGUAGAUCUUCAACAAACUGAAAAUUACUAAUGUUUACAACGGAAUCUGUCUCAGCAAUAUGUAAUCUCCAUAUGCUUUUUUAGUUUUCAGAAACCUUGUAAUUUUUACAGAAUAAAGGAAUUUUACCAUUACGGGUGUAACAUCUAGUUAAACUCCGAUGUCGGAAUCUCAACGUUCUGACGGAAUCUCCGUCGAGAUCCAGAAUCUCGAAGCUAAAAUUUUUAGAAGGAUAAAAUAGAGUUUUCAUAAAAUGAAUUAAAAAUUUUUCUUGGUGUGUUUUAAAAAAAAAUAAAAAAUUUAGAGGAGUUUUAAAGUUCGGCCGCCGAAGACGGCUCUUCCAGCCACUUAUAAAAGGCCUUCAACCCAAAAAUAUGAGAACUCUUUCUCUAUUUUCGAGCAGAGGUAAGUCCAUGCCCUUUUCCAGACAUUCUUGCUAAAAUUACUUCAAAUCUCUUGGAGAAUACAUGAGUUUUUACUUCAUUUUUUAAGAUUUGAGUUUGGAUUUCAAGCUUUAAACUUUGGAGACCUCCGAAAAUCGAUUUCCCAAUUCUCCAAAUCUUGGUUGUUGUGUUUUCUAUGUUUUUCAAGAGGUAAGUUCAAUCUUUGCUUUUCUUAUGCUUUUUGAAGGUUUUAAACCGAUAUUAUAAGUUGUUAGGACAUGCAUGAUUGAUUAUUCUAAAGUUUUAAAGUUUGAGUUAGUUUUGAUGAUGGAUGAUUUUCUCCUGGGAUUUUGUUGAUGCAUGUUGAGUUUAGAACAGUUUUUGAGGUCUCUUAUGCGUGUUAAGUGUGUAUGGUAGUCUUUAGCCUGUUGCAUGUAAGUUUGGGUUUGUUUAUUGGCUAUGAGCAUAGGGCAAAAUCAGGUUCUGCCUUACUGGAGAUCCUAGGUUCAGCCGCUGAAGCAAGGUUCGGCCACCAAAUCUGUCUGUAGAGGCAGCCAUUUGGCCACCUAACCUGCCGCUGAAAGUCCUCUGUUCAGCCUUUUUCAGCUUGUUUCCUACGUGUGUUCUUGUAUGUUCUUAGGGGUUUUCUUGAGGGUAGUUUAAGUAUUGUAAUAGUUAUGUUUGGUUCCUCAUUUAAAUCCAUCUAUGUAGGAUCGGACUUUGGAGACUGUAGAGGCUUGCAGUGAGAUAACUGCUUCAGUACUAGGCGUGCAUCAGUCAAAGGUGAGUAGAACUGAACUGAUAUAUUAUUUUAAAGAAAUCAAACUUUUUAAGCAUACUCAUACAUCACGAAUGUCAUGUAUAUACGAUUAGGUUGUUUUGCAUUAGAGUUCACGAAUAUAAUACAUUGCAUAAAUUAUUGUUGUUGUGGAUGGACGUUGGAUGACCCACUAGCCCUCGAGUAUGUUAUGAUAUGUUAUGAUGGAUAUGGAAAGACUAGGGUUGCCUAUUCUACGCCUCUGGCACUAUGUAAGGGAAAGACCAGGGCUGCCCAUUCUAUGCCCCUUGCACUAUGGAUAUGUUAUGUUAUAUUUAAGAGGAAAACCUGAGGAGCACUCGUCGUGGGCCGAGCACUAUUGAAAUCUGUAGAGGGUUACUGAUGACAAGUCCAUUUUGAUGUAAAUUGUUUGUGCUGUGAUGCAUUCAUACAAUCAUAUAUUUUAUUGAACUGUUUUUUUAUGUUCUGCUCACUAGACUCUUAUAGUUUAUCCCCUUUCCCCUAAUCCCAGGUUUGCAGGAUCAAAGUUAGCUCGGGAAGUCGGCUGAGUUGCUGGUAUAGCCUAUUGUAAUAGUAUAGCUAUGGAAAUAUAUUCAUUUGUGGAUUAGAAUUGUGCUUUGCCCGGGUUCUUCCUUGUAAUCCUUGUUUCAUGAUCAUUUUAUAUAAAAGUUUUUAAGUAUAAGUUUAUGUUUAAAUCGAGCUUGAGGCAUGUUAUGUCACACCCAUUCUCAAAACUGUGGAGAUGGAUAUGACCCGAAAAACUGACAGAACUUCCCCUGUUGUUAAUACAUAUAACUCAUAUGACCUGCUAUAAUUUCAAAAUAUAAAACAUAUAAGAGAUGAUUGAUAGCUAGACUGGUCAAUACAUAAUAUAUUUACAAUAAACAAAACACGUUCAUCAUUUGAAUUUACAAUCUAUACAUAAUCUGUCAAAAUUACAAAAAGAAAAGACAAGACCUAGGAUUGGUCCGACCUCCUCUAGACUCUGAGUGGACGAUGUGGAAGGAAUAACAAACUAGGAGAUGAGGACUGCUGAGCGGAUCACCAAAAAAAAACUGAAUAUUAAAAGAAAUAAGAGUGAGUACAACAUAUUCAGUGAGUGGAUAAAUAAAUAACAAAGGGGAAAAGAUAAGUUUAGGUAAUUAAUAGUACCAAAUAUUUAGCUAAAAUAAGUCAGCUGAAUAAAUACAAUUUAAUUCCUAGGCCUGGGCCUUAUAUGUUAUGUUGACCAUACCGAAGCAUUUGAUGAGGGCUCUAGUAUAGGUUUUAUGUUUUCAGUUACGAUGCAUGCACAAGUCGAGUCUUGGUUCAUGUAAUAAUUAUAUUUUUGUUGUUUGUAUGAUCAUGCAUGGAAUUAUAUCAUAUGUAAUAGGAUGUAUAGUAUGCUUGCUGUGGGCUCCAGUGACCUUAAGUCGAUUUGAACCCUAGCACCGGUAGUGGUCUGGUUCCCGGGUCGUUACAGAGUGGUAUCAAAGCCCUAGAUUCAUAUGACUGGGCCUAGAGUGUUGGGCUCAUAGAUGUUAUAGAGGGCAAAUACAAUUAGGAAAUAUUAUAUCCACUAGGAUAGAAUGUAGAGUCUUGUCAUGAUAUAUGUGAUAACCUCCAGAUCUUUCCUAGCCCAGGAAUAAGGUCGGGUCCAAAAGAAGGCACAGGUCCAAAGCCCAUCAGAUCAUACGCUCGAGAGGCGGCUCGACUUCACGAGCCUGGGCCGGCAACCCAGGAUGAUCCGGAUCAGAUAUGAGCACAAGCCCCAUAAGGGAGUAGGCCCAAUCACUCACCAGCUCUACCCGCAUGCUCUCUGGAGAGCAUUAAAUGGCCGUUACGCAUGGAGCAGGUGCCUGACACGCCCGUAUGUACGGGCCUGAGUGACAAGGACAGGAAGCACUAUAUAUCGGGGGGUCUCCUCUUGCAAGGGGGAUCUUCUUCUUUUUCUUCUCCUGCCUGGACUCCAUUUUUAUUUUCUCUGCAACUCUUGCCUAGAUAUACUACUCUUAUUCAUGAAACCUGACUUGAACGUCGGAGGGUCUCCGCUGGGGCAUCCCGGUGGACCCUUGACCAUUUUUCCUUAUUUUGCAGGUCCCUUUCUCAGAUAGAACAUGGAGAGACCCAUUUGACAGAUUCGUCUGGGAGCCCAAGAAGGAAUCAGAUCCACAUAAGAGGGGGCGAGGGAGGACCAGAUCUAACAAAUAUGGAGCCCAGGGAGAUUUAAAGUUAUCAAUAUGUAUAAUGAUGUAUAAUGUCAUGACUAUAUACAUGUGCAUUGAUGAUAUGAUAGGUAUGAUGUGGGUUCAUGUGUAUCCACAUGAACCAUAUGAUGCUAAUGCCUAUAUGUUUAAAUGAUUUUUCAGAAGACAGAAUGCAUGGCUUAUGUCGAUCUGUACGAUUGACUAGAGUCCCAUCCGAAAAAUGAGGGUAUAGACGCCCUUCCUCCUGCUGCUCCGUCAAGAGUGCGGUCAAGUAGAAAUAACAAGAAUGAAAAGUCAAGAGACCCUAUAAUGUCUUUUAAUAUAAACAAAAAGAGAACAGAUCCGAGUAGGAUGUUUGCAGAUGCCAGAAAAACAGUAGGAAAUGAUUAGAGGAGAGAUAGAAGUUUGGGUAUGAGUUUUGAAGUAGAGGGUGUGGGAGAGUCUGAAAGAGGAACAGAAGGCGUCAGACCAUAGGAUCCGCCUAUCCACCUCAGUACCAACCCUAUGCACAGGAACUCGGGUAUCCGAUGGAAAGUACAACAGAUUACUCUAGCUACCACCCAUACCCCUCAUUCAUACCCUAUCCUCCUUGCUAUUCAUUAUAUCCACCCUACCCUAUCUUAUGUUUUCGCCUCCUCCCCAUUACUAGAAUUUGGCAAACUCUAACUCAGGAAAUGUUGCACCACCUCCUCCUCCAGCAAAACCAGCUAGAAAAAAGUUUUUAUACCCAGAUAGAAAAAAGUUUUUUCUUCAAACUAUAUCAUUCAUUUUAUUUUAUUUACAAUUUUAAUUAAAUCAGUUUUUGAUAAUUUUUCAAAAAAUUAAAUUUGAAAUAAAACAGAUAUUUUUUUUAAAAAUUUUAGGACAUUAAUAAUUUUUAACUUUGAUUAGCAAUUUAUAAUAUUAAACAUUAUACUUUUUAAUUAACAACAAUUCCAUUUAAUUUUCUAAGUUCAGUAAUUCUCUUUAUGGCCCUGAACUAUUUAAUAAGAUUGAUGAGGGUCAUAGCAAAAACCAAAUAAAUAAACUGGAUCAAUUUUGUAUAUAGAAUAUAAACAUACAACGUACAUCAUACAAAAGCUGAAACAAAAAUAUUAUAGGACUAAAACUCACUUCAAAUUUAAGCAUGCAUAUAUAUAACAUAUGAAUCAGACACUUAAGAACACAUAAAUGAUACUGAUCAAUGCAAAAGCUGAAGUCAUCACAGCGAGAUCAAACGUUGAAACCCUUGUGGUAUAAUUGCUUAAGGAUUGGUAGCUGAUUCAGGUUUGGUGUCUUUGGAAGGGAAUGUGGACUUUGGUAACUCAGGCAAGUGGGGAAAAGUUGGCAGUUCAGGUUUUGGCAACUCAGGCAAGUGGGGAAAAGCUGGCAGUUCAGGCUUUGGAAACUCAGGCAAUUCAGGUUUUGGCAGCGUGGGAAUUUCAGGCUUCGACAACUCAGGCAAUUCAGGUAAUUUUGGCAGAGUGGGAAGUUCAGGUUUAGGAAAGGUUGGGACUUCAGGUAAUGGUGGAAGCUCAACCUUAGGAAGUAAUGGCAAGUCAGGUAAUUCAGGCUUGGGAAGCUCCGGGACCUCAGGUAAUGUUGUCUCUAGAAGCUGCCGUGCUUCUGCAGAGAUUGACAGAGCAACGAGUGAGAGCAGAACAAUGAGUGAAGGGGAGCGAAGAUUGGCCAUAAUUAUGCAACAAGAUCAAUCAGCUGUAAAUAAAAUUUAUCCUCACUUUGUUUUGUGUGUGUUGAUGUUCACUUGUGUUGAGCUUUUAUAGAAGUGGGAAGUGAAGAAUGGGGAACUUACAAAGGUGAUUUAGUGGGAAAAGUUGUGUUAGCUCAACUUCCCACCCAUAAGACUCCCACUGUUGGCAUGACCAACUAUAGACUUCCUUACAAAUGUAACCUUGCUAUCUUUCUAUAUGGAGUCCAGAGAUUGGUUAGAUUGAUAAUAAGCUAAGAUAUGGUUCUCACUUGUAAUCAUUCUCAGAAAUCAGAACACUUGUGAAGUUCAAGAUUUUUCACCUAUUUAAUAAUUCACCUCUUUCUUGUUCUACCUACAAAAGAUGAGAAUCUGAAGAAUGGUUCUUCUUUAGUUACUUUAAAAUAAUGUUCAAUGAAGAUAGCCUCAUCUUCAAAGUUGGCCAACCUACACACUAAACUUUGACAUGUCUUUCUUUUCGUUGAAGCUCUGACUGAUCUUCACAUCCAAUUAUUCAAGUUAAUCUUCUAUUUGAAAUUAAGAAUUUUACUAAAAAUUAAUCCAAUUGAUUUCUUUUAUAUAGAUCUCUUGGUUGGAAUGAUAUUCAAUUUUUUUUUAACUUAUAAAAUUUUUAUAUUAAAAAAAUUAAAACUAUGUGUAAUCUUGUUAGAAUUUAUUUGUAUUAUUUUCUUUCAAACUGAAUCAUUGCAAACACAAGGACUAUAUGAGAGAGUAUAUAUAAAUCUCAGUUGUAAUUAUAACAGUUUAGAAUAUGUCUAAUCACAUUAGUUUUGGUAUAUCUUGAACAAACCGAAAAUUACUAAUGUUUAUAACGGAAUCUGUCUCAACAACAUCUAAUCUCGAUAUGCUUUUCCAAUUAAUCUCGAUAUGCUUUUCCAAUUUUCAGAAGCCUUAUAACUUUUACAGAAUAAAAGAAUUUUACCACGGAGAGUUCAUUUAAUCUUUGAUUUGAUUUGAGUAAAAAUAAAUAAAUUGAAUUAAAUCAAACCAAAUUUUGAAGAGUUCAAACUUAUUUUUUAAAUUUUUUUUAAGUUUGAGUUUCAUUUUGAACUUGAGCCAAGUAUUAAUAAGCUUAAAUUUGGCUCAUUUAGCAAACGAAUUUAGAUAAAUCGAAUUUUUAUCGAGUUUAGUUUUGAAUAAUUUACGAAAAGUUCAAUUUAUUUACAUAUAUAUAUAUAAUAAGAUUUAGUUGAAAACUAAUACGUUUAAAACUAAAUAAUUUUAGUUAAAUAAGUAUAUAUAUAAAUUAGCUUUUAAAAUUAUAAAGGAUGAGUUUUUAAAUUUUAAUGAUUCAAAUAUCUAUAAAUUUUAAAAGUAUAAUUAAACUAUGCAAGUUGAACUUUAAAAAACUUAGAUCUGAUUCAUGAAAAUAUAUACAAAGUAUAAUUUAGUUCUCUUAUAAUAUUACUUUCCGUAUGCUUAUUUGAGACCGUUUAUAAGUUUGUUCGCGAGCUUGCUCAUAAAUUCGAAAAUGAGCUGAAUUCGUGAGUCUUAAAGAGUCUAAUACAAAUGAAUCUGAAAAUUAAGUUCAAUCUUGAUUCAUUUAGAAAUCAAGUUGAGUUUGAUUGAACUUUUUAUCGAAUUGAACUUUCAAUAAUUCACGGACAAUUUAAUCCAUUUACACCACUAAUAGUUAUUUAGGGUCAGAUAUAAUUGCGCUCUAUAAUAGUAGAACUAAAGAGUUGGUUCUAUUAAUUACCACAGAGCCAAUCUAUUAUUGGUCGUUGAUAGAUGCGCAUUGUGGGAGUAACCCUAAUGGAAAAAUUAAUUGAUUGAAAGCUUACUUUGUAGUCAAUAAAUUACCACUAAAAUAUGAGCUUGAUUACAAUAAUAUUUUGACUCAAAUGGCUAAAAUUUUAUCAAUUCGUCUUCUUGUCUCCUUAACAACAUCCACAUCAUUGGCCUCUUUAUUGAAUAGAUAAAAAAAAUUACUUUUUAUACGAAGAACUUAUAAAGAAAGUUCUUAUAAAGCAAUCAUCAGACCAUCAGAGUUUGUUGCUGAGAGGAUCAGGCAUGGUAUGCCAUUUAUGACAAAUACCACACGGGUUAAAAGUAGCCUGUAAGGAUGUUGUUUGGAUAGUUUAGUAAUGGGAUCCAACAGAUUAGGAUGUGUAGGAGUGAAGCCUAAUGUGCCCCUUAUAUGGGUCAUAGGCAAUCCUCCCCCUUGAGCUAGCUUUUGGGGUGAGUUAGGCCUGGCCCAAAUUUAACUUGGUAUCAAAGCCUCCCCAUCCGAUGUUGGGCCUCCCAUAAAUGUGUCACGCACCAGUAAAAUUCUGGGCGUGAGGGGGGUAUGUUGAAUCCCACAUCGGUUGUGGAAAGGGGUAAUGUGCCCCUUAUAUGGGUCAUAUAUAUAUAUAUCAUUAAAUAAAGCAUAAUUCUUGUAUAGAUUGAGUCUAUACGGACAUGUAGUAUAAAUUAUAUGUGAUUUGUUAUAGCUGUCACUACUAUUUUAUAUUACAGUCUGAUGACUGCUGGAUUUCUUCACCCCGACCUAAAGGCCAGGCCCCUGAAAACAGUCCAUAAUCCGAAGGCUUCAAUAUUCCCCUCGAGAGCCAGGUCUAGCCCGCUCAGUCACAGGGCCGGACUCUGCCUAGACUCCUCAAUCAAGCCGGCCCAAACCUCUCGGCCCAAUAAUCAGGCCCUCACCAGGCUCAACUUCAGCCCUACCAUUCAACCCAGCCCAGAAAGAGGAAAAUGACUAACCUGCCCCGCUGAUGGGUCCUUCCGCAUGCGUAUCAGAGGAGAAUUAAUGGUCGUUACGCAUGGAGCAGGCGCCUGACACAUCCGUACAUACAGAGCUGGGCGGCAGAAGACAGCUAGCAUUGUGGCAGAGAGACAGAUAUAUAUAUUACAGUAGAGGCCACGCAAAAGAGGGGGCUCUCUCUUCUUCUUCCUUCUCCUUCCUGGACACCAUUUUUAUUCUUUCUGCAACCCUUGCCUAAAUAUACUACUCUGAGCCAUAAAAUCUGACUUGAGCGUCGGAGGGCCUCCACCGGGGCACCCCCGGUAGGCCCCUGACCAUUCUUUCUUAUUUUACAGGUCCUUUCACCAGGUAAAACAUGGAGAGAUCCAUCAGGGAGCCCAGCAAGAAGGGACCCAGAAGAAAACCAGAUCUAUCAUGGACCAGGAAGAGGAAAAAAUUUAUCACAGUCCAUAUAAAACCGGUGUAGAUAAGUUUUUGCCCUUCAAGGAAAAUUGGUAAAAGAAUAUAAUUAGUAAAUUCUUUCAAUUUUUAGUAUAUGGAAAAUAAUUAUCACCCAUGAUUGAAUUAUUGGACAACAUCAUCAAAGAGAACUCUAGCAAAGUCCUUUCGUAUUUUCAUAUUUUCACUCUGUACCGAAUAAUUUUUGUUUUUUUUUUUUAAAUGAGAAUUGGAGAUUAGGAGAGUAGAACCUAAGCUUGUAAAUGCAGAUUGAAUAGUCUUAUAAUUGAAAUAUCUAAAUAAAAUCAUAAACAAAAUGAAUUUUAACUCAGAUCUUAACAAAUUAAUAUAAUAAUCUCAAUUUGAUCUAGUGUAUCUUUUGAUUUACAGUUUUUUAAGUCAAAUGUCAAUGAUAAAUUUAAAAUUUUAGUAGUUUUUUUCUCGUAACUCUAUUCCUAUUAUUAGAAUCUCUCUUUUACCGAAAAAUUCUUCAUAGUUAUGGAGGAAAAAUUUUUCUUUUUCUUGAAAAACUUAUCAUUUAUUUUAUUUUAUUUAUAAUUUUAAUUAAAUCGGUUGUUCAUAAUUUUUCAAAAAUUUAGAUUUGAAAUAAAAUAUAUUUUUUUUAAUUUUAGGCCAUCAGUAAUUUUUAAGUUCAGUGACUCAUAAUAUUAAAUUUAUAUUUUUUUAAUUCACAACAAUAUUUUAAUUUUUAAGUUCUGUAAAUUCUUGUGGCUCUGUGUGAAUGUGCUUGGAUCAUGAACUAUCAAUAAGAUUCAUCACAAUCAUACCCAAGAUCAAGAUCAAAUAAAUAAGCUGAUCAACUCUGCAAAUAGAAUAUAAACUGUACAUCAUACAAAUAUUUGAAAUAUAAAGAUUACAGGACUAACAUCCACUCCAAAUUUAAUCAUAUAUAUAUGUAAUCAAUGAUACUGAUCAAUGCGAAAGAUGAAGUCAUCACUGUGAGAUCAAACAUCGAAACAUUUAUGGUAUAGUUGUUUAAGGACUGGGAGUUGAUUGAGGAGGUUUUGUGUCCUUGGCAAGGAAUGUGGGCUUUGGUAACUCUGGCAAGUGGGGAAAAGUUGGCAGUUCAGGUUUUGGUAACUCAGGCAAUUCAAGUUUUGGCAAAGUGGGAAUUUCAGGCUUUGGCAACUCAGGCAAUUCAGGUUUUGGCAGUGUGGGAAGUUCAGGCUUAGGGAAGGCUGGGACUUCUGGUAAUGGUGGAAGCUCAACCUUAGGCAGUGAAGGCAAUUCAGGCUUGGGAAGCUCAGAUACCUCAGGCAAUGCUGUUUUUAGAAGGUGUCGUGCAUCUACGGAUUGACAGAGUGAUAAGUGAGAGCAUAAUGAUGAGGGAAGGGGAGCGAUGAUCGGCCAAAAUGCGACAAGAUCAACCACCUGCAAAGUGAAUAGUAAUUAAAAUUUCUGGACAAUUUUGUUUUGCGUGUUGAUGUUCACUUAGUGUUGAGCUUUUAUAGAAGUGGGAAGUGGAGAAUGGAGAACCUUCAAUGGUAAUUUGGUGGGAAAACUUGUGUCCUGUUAGCUCAACUUCCCAUCUAUAAUCCUCCAACAACUGGCAUGACCCAUUAUAGGCUUCCAUACAAAAGUAAUCUUUCCGUCCUUCUACAUGGAUUCAAGAGAUUAGUUGGAGAGAACCACAGCUAAAAGAUUGACAUUAAGCUAAAAUAUGUUGUCAGAAAUCACAACACUUGUCAAGUUCAAGCAUUUUUACAAAUUUAAUAAUUCACCACCACUAAACUUUGACAAAUCUUCCUUUAUUGCAACGCUUAUUGUUAUUGUUGGAAUUUAAUGACUGACCGAUCCAAAUCUCCAUGCGAUGAAAGUGUUGAAUUCCAAUUUAAUAUGAUGGCCUCUUCUAAAAUACUUCUAGACAAUUUAAAUUAAAUUUCAAUUAACUUAUCAUAUUAUAAAGCUUAUUAUUAUCAAUGUCAAGACUACGUUAUGAAAAAUAUCUUUCAUAUUUUUUGUUAUUUGGAAUAAUGAGAAAAAUUAAUCAAUAAAAAUAUUUUCUUGAUUAAAGAAAAAAUUAAAUCAUUUUAAAAAAAUACUGCUUCUUGGCUCUUUCUUUCUCAUCAAUUCUAUUUUCCUGUUGUGCUCUUCCAACAAAUCCAUAGUCACCAACUUGCCCUUUGAAAUUUAAAUUAUUGGACGACAUCAUCAACGAGAAUUCUAGCAAAGUUCUCUAAUAUUUUCUUCAUCAAUGUUGAAUUUUGAGAGGGAAGGGGAAUAAUACAUAUGAAUGCGACUAAAUAGUCUUACAAUUUUAUUGAUUGUAUUGUUAUUUAUACAGUCAAAUAUAAUUAAAAAAUCUAAAUAAAAUUAUAAAUAAUUUAAAUAUUAACUUAAAUAUUAAUAAAUUAAAAUAAUGAUUCAAAUUUAAAUUAUAUGAUUUAGCAUAUUUUUCGGUUUCUAAAUCAAAUAUCCAACGAUCAAUUUAAAAUUUUAGUACUCAUAAGCCCUUGGUAUUAUUAGAAACUCUCUUACUAAAAUUUUUUAAUAAUUAUAAAUAAAAAAGUUUUAUUUUUCUUUCAUAAUAUUAGAAAUAAAACCAUAUCAUUUAUUUUAUUUAAUUUGUAAUCGAAUUAAAUCGGUUGUUCAUGAUUUUUUGAAAAAUUAGAUUUAAAAUAAAAUGGAUAAUUUUUUAAUUUUAGGCCAUCAAUAAUUUUUAAGUUCAGUAAUUCAUAAUACUAAAAUUUUUUAAAAAAAUUCACAACAACAAUUUAAUUUUUAAGUUCAGUAAUAAUUUCUCUUUGUGGCUCUGCAUGAAAGUGCUUGGAUCAUGAACUAUUAAAUAAGAUUGAUCAGUCAUACCCAAAAUCAAAUAAAUAAGCUGGAUCAACUCAGUAUAUAGAAAAUGAACUCACAAGAUACAUCAUUCAAACAACUGAAACAGAAAUAUUAUAGGACUACCACUCACUGCAAAUUAAUCAUGUAUAUGUAAAAGAAGAUAUAAAUGAUACUGAUCAAUGCGAAAGAUGAAGUCAUCACUGUGAGAUCAAAUAUAGAAACACUUAUGGUGUAGUUGUUUAAGGACUGGUGGUUGAUUGAGGAGGUUUUGUGUCCUUAGAAGGCAAUGUGGGCUUUGGCAACUCAGGCAAGUGGGGAAAAGCUGGCAAUUCAGGCUUUGGCAACUCAGGCAAUUCAGGUUUUGGCAGUAUGGGAAGUUCAGGUUUAGGAAAGGUGGAGACUUCAGGUAAUGGUGGAAGCUCAACUUUAGGCAAUGAUGGCAACUCAGGCUUGGGAAGCUCAGGUACCUCAGGCAAUUCUGUCUCCAGAAGGUGUCGUGCAUCUACAGAGAUUGAUAGAGUGAUGAGUGAGAGCAUAAUGAUGAGGGAAGAGCGAAGAUCGGCCAUAAUGCUAU